Molecule: ribosomal RNA, 253 nt
Filed under: uncultured bacterium
Lineage: Bacteria
Description: partial 16S ribosomal RNA
Rfam family: Bacterial small subunit ribosomal RNA
Source: RNAcentral
UACGUAGGGUGCAAGCGUUAAUCGGAAUUACUGGGCGUAAAGCGUGCGCAGGCGGUUUUGUAAGUCUGUCGUGAAAUCCCCGGGCUUAACCUGGGAAUGGCGAUGGAGACUGCAAGGCUGGAAUCUGGCAGAGGGGGGUAGAAUUCCACGUGUAGCAGUGAAAUGCGUAGAGAUGUGGAGGAACACCGAUGGCGAAGGCAGCCCCCUGGGUCAAGAUUGACGCUCAUGCACGAAAGCGUGGGGAGCAAACAGG